RNAcentral lists this ribosomal RNA (1066 nucleotides) under Bradyrhizobium sp. Its description in RNAcentral is "bacterial SSU rRNA". It matches the Rfam family "Bacterial small subunit ribosomal RNA", at positions 49 to 1160 of the family's 1533-position model. Lineage: Bacteria; Pseudomonadati; Pseudomonadota; Alphaproteobacteria; Hyphomicrobiales; Nitrobacteraceae. The record is from RNAcentral.
UAACACAUGCAAGUCUAGCGGGCGUAGCAUUACAUCUCCUGCUUACGGGUGACUAUCGCGUGGCGACGUCCCUUUUGGUGCUUAUCCACACCGGGGAACUUGAGCUAAUAUCGGAUCAUCCCUCACGGGGCAACAUUUAUCGCCACAUCAUCCGCCCGCGUCUGAUUAGCGACUUGGACGGGGACUGGCCUACCGUGGCGACUAUCGGUCCCUGGUCUGAUAUGAUGAUCAGCCCCCUUGGGACUGACACCCCGCCCAAUCUCCUACGGGAGGCCGCCGCGGGGAAUAUUGUACAAUGGGGGUCACCCUGAUCCCUCCAUGCCGCCUGAGUGAUGAAGGCCCUAGGGUUGUAUCCCUCUUUUGUGCGGGAAGAUAAUGACUGUACCGCUGUAAUAAGCCCUGGCUUACUUCUUGCCCGCAGCCGCCGUUAUACAAGGGGGGCUAACGUUGCUCGGAAUCGCUGGCCUGAAAGGGUGCGUAGGCGGGUCUUUACGACAGGGGUGAAAUCCUGGAGCUCGACUCCACAACUGCCUUUGAUACUGAACAUCUUGCUUCCCGGAUAGGUGAGUGGAACUGCGACUGCAUAGGUGAGCUUCCCAAAUAUUCGCAAGAGCACCAGUGCCGAAAGCGGCUCACAGUCCCGGUACUGACUCUGAGGCACGAAAUCGCGAGGAGGUUACACGAUUUGAUACCCUGGUAGUCCCCCCCGUCAACAUUUAUUGCCAGCCGUUAGUGGGUUUACUCACUAUUGGCGCAGCUAACGCUUUAAGCAUCCCGCCUGGGGAGUACGGUCGCAAGAUUAAAACUCAAAGGAAUUGACGGGGGCCCGCACAAGCGGUGGAGCAUGUGGUUUAAUUCGACGCAACGCGCAGAACCUUACCAGCCCUUGACAUGUCCAGGACCGGUCGCAGAAAUGUGACCUUCUCUCCGGAGCCUGGACCACAGGUGCUGCAUGGCUGUCGUCAGCUCGUGUCGUGAGAUGUUGGGUUAUGUCCCGCAACUAGCGCAACCCCCGUCCUUGGUUGCUACCAUUUAGUUCACCACUCUAAGGAGACUGCCGGUGAUA